AGUGAACGCUGGCGGUAGGCCUAGCACAUGCAAGUCGAACGGCAGCACAGUAAGAGCUUGCUCUUACGGGUGGCGAGUGGCGGACGGGUGAGGAAUACAUCGGAAUCUACUUUUUCGUGGGGGAUAACGUAGGGAAACUUACGCUAAUACCGCAUACGACCCACGGGUGAAAGCAGGGGAUCUUCGGACCUUGCGCGAUUGAAUGAGCCGAUGUCGGAUUAGCUAGUUGGCGGGGUAAAGGCCCACCAAGGCGACGAUCCGUAGCUGGUCUGAGAGGAUGAUCAGCCACACUGGAACUGAGACACGGUCCAGACUCCUACGGGAGGCAGCAGUGGGGAAUAUUGGACAAUGGGCGCAAGCCUGAUCCAGCCAUACCGCGUGGGUGAAGAAGGCCUUCGGGUUGUAAAGCCCUUUUGUUGGGAAAGAAAAGCAGCAGGUUAAUACCCCGCUGUUCUGACGGUACCCAAAGAAUAAGCACCGGCUAACUUCGUG
This 492-nucleotide ribosomal RNA is filed under the name uncultured bacterium. RNAcentral's name for it is "partial 16S ribosomal RNA". It matches the Rfam family "Bacterial small subunit ribosomal RNA", at positions 29 to 507 of the family's 1533-position model. The record is from RNAcentral.